This 310-nucleotide long non-coding RNA is filed under the name Physcomitrium patens. Its description in RNAcentral is "long non-coding RNA (PPAT_LNC013661)". The record is from RNAcentral. Lineage: Eukaryota; Viridiplantae; Streptophyta; Bryopsida; Funariales; Funariaceae.
ACAAAUUUGACAUCUUAACUUUGAAUACUUAUAUCUCCUUCACAAAACUAAAAAUUACACAAAUUCUUCAUCAAAAUUAUACCUCAAAUCUUGAACUUGCUGAUCUUAGCCUUCAAAGCUCAAAUGCCUCCAAAAGUAAAACCCUAAUCUCUAAUAAGGCUUCGCGUAGCCUCUUUAAAGCAUAUUGGGUAUGACAUUCGAUCAAUAGGGAUGAAGGUCUUCACCCCUUGCCUUCAUCCAAUCAUAUCUUGUUUUCAUACUUUCCAAUAAGCCUCUCAAUAGUUUAGACUUUCAUCUUUAAACUCCAACC